UGAGGAAUAUUGCCCAAUGGGCGAAAGCCUGAGGCAGCAACGCCGCGUGAGGGAUGAAGGCCCUCGGGUCGUAAACCUCUUUUCUGAGGGACGAGCAAGGACGGUACCUCAGGAAUAAGUACCGGCUGACUACGUGCCAGCAGCCGCGGUAAAACGUAGGGUGCGAGCGUUAUCCGGAUUUACUGGGCGUAAAGCGCACGCAGGUGGCUUAGUGAGUUGGACGUGAAAGCUCCUGGCUUAACUGGGAGAGGUCGUUCGAUACUGCUAGGCUUGAGGUAGGGAGAGGGGUGUGGAAUUCCCGGUGUAGUGGUGGAAUGCGUAGAUAUCGGGAGGAACACCAGUGGCGAAGGCGACACCCUGGCCCUCACCUGACACUGAUGUGCGAAAGCGUGGGUAGCAAACAGG
RNAcentral lists this ribosomal RNA (405 nucleotides) under uncultured bacterium. Its description in RNAcentral is "bacterial SSU rRNA". It matches the Rfam family "Bacterial small subunit ribosomal RNA", at positions 355 to 776 of the family's 1533-position model. The record is from RNAcentral.